Molecule: ribosomal RNA, 994 nt
Filed under: uncultured Acinetobacter sp.
Lineage: Bacteria; Pseudomonadati; Pseudomonadota; Gammaproteobacteria; Moraxellales; Moraxellaceae
Description: bacterial SSU rRNA
Rfam family: Bacterial small subunit ribosomal RNA
Source: RNAcentral
CAGCAGCCGCGGUAAUACAGAGGGUGCGAGCGUUAAUCGGAUUUACUGGGCGUAAAGCGCGCGUAGGUGGUUAAUUAAGUCAAAUGUGAAAUCCCCGAGCUUAACUCGGGAAUUGCAUUCGAUACUGGUUAGCUAGAGUAUGGGAGAGGAUGGUAGAAUUCCAGGUGUAGCGGUGAAAUGCGUAGAGAUCUGGAGGAAUACCGAUGGCGAAGGCAGCCAUCUGGCCUAAUACUGACACUGAGGUACGAAAGCAUGGGGAGCAAACAGGAUUAGAUACCCUGGUAGUCCAUGCCGUAAACGAUGUCUACUAGCCGUUGGGGGAUUUGAUCCUUUAGUGGCGCAGCUAACGCGAUAAGUAGACCGCCUGGGGAGUACGGUCGCAAGACUAAAACUCAAAUGAAUUGACGGGGGCCCGCACAAGCGGUGGAGCAUGUGGUUUAAUUCGAUGCAACGCGAAGAACCUUACCUGGCCUUGACAUAGUAGAAACUUUCCAGAGAUGGAAAGGUGCCUUCGGGAAUCUACAUACAGGUGCUGCAUGGCUGUCGUCAGCUCGUGUCGUGAGAUGUUGGGUUAAGUCCCGCAACGAGCGCAACCCUUUUCCUUACUUGCCAGCAUUUCGGAUGGGAACUUUAAGGAUACUGCCAGUGACAAACUGGAGGAAGGCGGGGACGACGUCAAGUCAUCAUGGCCCUUACGGCCAGGGCUACACACGUGCUACAAUGGUCGGUACAAAGGGUUGCUACACAGCGAUGUGAUGCUAAUCUCAAAAAGCCGAUCGUAGUCCGGAUCGCAGUCUGCAACUCGACUGCGUGAAGUCGGAAUCGCUAGUAAUCGCGGAUCAGAAUGCCGCGGUGAAUACGUUCCCGGGCCUUGUACACACCGCCCGUCACACCAUGGGAGUUUGUUGCACCAGAAGUAGGUAGUCUAACCGCAAGGAGGACGCUUACCACGGUGUGGCCGAUGACUGGGGUGAAGUCGUAACAAGGUAGCCGU